The sequence is a small nuclear RNA, 204 nucleotides long. Its record names the gene U2. It matches the Rfam family "U2 spliceosomal RNA". Rfam says of the family: U2 is a small nuclear RNA (snRNA) component of the spliceosome (involved in pre-mRNA splicing). Complementary binding between U2 snRNA (in an area lying towards the 5' end but 3' to hairpin I) and the branchpoint sequence (BPS) of the intron results the bulging out of an unpaired adenosine, on the BPS, which initiates a nucleophilic attack at the intronic 5' splice site, thus starting the first of two transesterification reactions that mediate splicing. The record is from Ensembl.
AUCGCUUCUUGGCCUUUUGGCUAAGAUCAAGUGUAGUAACAUAAAGUCACAACUUAAGCUGAGAAAUACCAUCUUCUGAAUUCAUGUUCAGAUUAAGUUUUACAUUAAUCCUACUUUGAGAGUGAAAAAAUAUUUUUAUUUAAAAAUUAGGUCUAGGGGUACCUGGCUAGCUCAGUCAGUAAAGCAUGCAGCUCUUGAUCUCAG